Molecule: ribosomal RNA, 408 nt
Filed under: uncultured bacterium
Lineage: Bacteria
Description: partial 16S ribosomal RNA
Rfam family: Bacterial small subunit ribosomal RNA
Source: RNAcentral
GACGAACGCUGGCGGCGUGCUUAACACAUGCAAGUCGAACGAAGUGGCGAACGGGUGAGUAAAGCGUAAUCAACCUGCCCUUCAGAGGGGGACAACAGUUGGAAACGACGGCUAAUACCGCAUAAUGAAGGAGGGGAUUGCGUCUGCGUUGCUAGUGGGAGGGGAAACGGCCCACAAAGGAGAUGAUCAGUAGCCGGUCUGGGAGGAUGAACGGCCACAUUGGUACUGAGACACGGCACAGACUCCUACGGGAGGCAGCAGUGGGUAAUCUUCCGCAAUGGACGAAAGUCUGACGGAGCAACGCCGCGUGAGUGAUGACGGCCUUCGGGUUGUAAAGCUCUGUUAAUCGGGACGCGGUACCGGAAUAGAAAGCCACGGCUAACUACGUGCCAGCAGCCGCGGUAAUAC